Molecule: ribosomal RNA, 2712 nt
Filed under: Triticum aestivum (bread wheat)
Lineage: Eukaryota; Viridiplantae; Streptophyta; Magnoliopsida; Poales; Poaceae
Description: partial small subunit ribosomal RNA
Source: RNAcentral
AUGGCGCAGCUCGUCAUGACGGCCACCCUCCUGCCCAAGCUGGCCAGCCUGCUCUCGCCGGAGUACAGCCUCCACCGGGCAGCCAGGGGCGAGAUCAUGUUCCUCAAAGUCGAGAUGGAGAGCAUGCAGGCGGCCCUCGUCAAGGUCUCGCAGGCGCCAAUCGACCAGCCACCCGACGUCCAGGUCAAGCUAUGGGCCAAGGAGGUGCGGGCCCUGUCGCACGAUCUCGAGGACAGCGUCGACAAGUUCAUGGUGCGUAUACGCACCGACGGGCUAGACAAGUCGCACACCUUCAUGGGCUUCAUCGAUAGGAGCCUCAACCUCUUGACGAAAGCCAAGAUCCGCCACAAGAUACUCACCGAUGUCAGGGACAUCAAGAGCCGCGUCAAGGAGGUCAGUAAACGGCGUGAGACAUACAAGGUCGACAUAGUUCCUGCCAGGCCAACCGCCACAACCACCGAUAGCCUUCGCCAGUUAGCCUUAUACAAAAAGGCUACUGAGCUCAUCGGCACCGAAGAGAAGAGCAAUGAGCUAGUGGAGAUGUUGAGAAAGGGUGAUGAUGCGUCGGUCAAGCAACUCAAGAUGGUCUCUGUUGUCGGUUUCGGAGGAUUGGGCAAGACAACUCUUGCAAAUGCGGCGUAUCAGAAGCUUAAAGGGGAUUUUGAUUGUGGAGCUUUUGUCUCGGUGUCUUUUACUCCUAAUAUUGAGAAGAUCUUCAAGAACUUGCUCCAUCAACUUGACAAGAAUUGGUAUCAUAAUAUCAACGAGUCAAACUGGGGAGAAGCAGAACUCAUUACUGAAAUCACAGAAUACCUUCGGAACAAGAGGUACAUCAUUGUUAUAGACGACAUAUGGGAUAAAUCUGUUUGGAAAAAUAUUAGAUGUGCUUUGAUUGAGAAUGAGUGUGGAAGUAGAGUAAUCAUCACAACCCGCAUUCUAGAUGUUGCCAAAGAAGAUGGUGAUGUUUAUGAGAUGAAACCUCUUUCUAUCACCAACUCAAAAAUAUUAUUCUACCAAAGAAUAUUUGGAAAGGAAGAUGAAUGCCCUCAUAAACAGUUGAUCGAAGUAUCAGAGAAAAUUUUAAUGAAAUGUGGUGGAGUACCAUUAGCUAUCAUUACGAUAUCCAGCUUGUUGGCAGAAAGACAUGACAGUGCACACUGGUCUAAGGUGUACCAAUCAAUGGGCACCGGGCUGGAAAAUAAUCCAGAUGUGAAUGGCAUGAGAAGGAUAUUAUAUGUUAGCUACUAUGAUUUGCCUGCUCAUCUCAAGAUUUGCUUACUAUAUCUAAGUUUGUAUCCAGAGGAUUGCAUAUUCAAGAGAAAAUAUUUAGUAUGGAAGUGGGUGGGUGAAGGUUUUAUUCAGCCAAAACAAGGGGAGAGCUUGUAUGAAGUAGGAGAGCAAUAUUUCGAUGAGCUUAUAAACAAAAGCUUGAUCCAGACAGUAAAUAGUGAAUGGUGUUGGCAUUUUGAUUUUUCAAAAAAGAAGGCAAGUCAUUGUCGUGUACAUGACAUGGUUCUUGAUCUCAUCACUUGUUUGUCACAUGAAGAGGAUUUUAUGACGACAUUAGGUGGUCAUGAGUAUGAGUCUCUGCCAGUAAAGAUCCGCCGACUAUCCCUCCAUACAAGCAAGCAAGAAGAUGCCAAGGUGCUCUCUACAAUGGACAUGUCCCAUGUGAGGUCACUUACAGUGUUCAAGAAAUCGUUUUCUUUGCUGCCACCACUUUCAAGCUUUCCACUCUUAAGUGCAUUGGAUUUAACCAACUGUAAGCAGGUGGAUGAUCGCCACUCUAUGCUUAUAUGCAGUAUGUUUCACCUGAGGUACUUGUGGCUAUAUGGAACCUAUAUCACCGAGAUCCCAAGAGAGAUUGCAAAUCUUCAACUUUUGCAGGUAUUGGACAUAGGUGAGACUGAAAUAGAGGAGUUGCCAUCAACUUUUGAACAGUUGCAUCAGUUGGUGUAUCUGCGUGUUAAUAGUUGGAUAAGAGUACCAUAUGGCUCUGAGAAUUUGAAAUCUCUGCAAGAGUUGAAAUCGGUGAUUGUCAUGUCUCCAUCAGUCCUGCUUGAUCUGUCCGGGCUGACCGAGCUGAGGUGCCUUGAAAUGAAAGUCAUUGAAUGGAACAAGAGUUUUGAGGAGCCCUUCCGUCGCUGUCUAUCUAGCCUCAUCAAUCUCCAAAGCUUAAAAGUAAAUGGUUGUCGUAUCACCGAGGAUCCUGAAUGUGGAAAUUUAUUGCUACCAGGACCUCAACAGCUUCGUCGCUUCAUUGCACCGUAUUGCAUGGCCUCUUCGGUUCCAAGAUGGAUGUCCUCACUCUCCUGUCUUUCAUACAUUGUAAUCUCGUUGUACACACUGGGCGAGGAGGACCUUCAUGUCCUUGGUUGCUUACCAUCCCUCCGUCAUCUCAACAUGGAUGUGCGUAGACACACACCACGACAGAGACAAGCAUGGCCCGUCAUCGGUGCUACCGGCUAUCCGUUCAGGUGUCUAACAGAGUUGAGGUACGUUCAACACGCGGAGGUGGUUUUUGCACUGGGAGCCAUGCAGAAGCUCCAAGUUCUCGAGCUGCAUCUCGGAACACGGGAUACUAUGCAUCAGUCUGGCUAUUUCAACUUGGGCUUGGAAAACCUCUCUUCGCUUCAACAGGUAAGUAUCGAUUUGGAUUCUUCUAAGGAUCGGGUGGAGGAGGUGGAAACUGCGGAGGCUGUUCUUCGUUAA